This is a long non-coding RNA of Anopheles merus, 1130 nucleotides long. RefSeq lists it as uncharacterized. The record is from RefSeq and is a predicted model, not a curated record. NCBI's taxonomy places the organism in Eukaryota, Metazoa, Arthropoda, Insecta, Diptera, Culicidae. The transcript is spliced from 3 exons.
UCGAAGUGGUUAAAACAGCAAGGAAGUUUCAACCGAUUGCGCGAUUCCAUGAGAAAAUCCAUGUUCUAUGCCAGUGGAACGAUUUCCGAUACCGGCAGCGGGACGACGAAUCGACAAUCGGAUUUUCUCGCGAUCUUUUGACACUUAUUAUUCUGGCCAGUGAUGUGAAGUAAAACAGUUCCCAGCCCAAAAUGUGCUCCUUCCUGUCCGAACUCACAACGGUGCACUCACUCACUUACUAAAGUAAAGGCAUAACGGCGACUCCUAGCUGAAGGCGCGCCCCGCGCACGAACAUGCUGCAUUAUGCGCUGCGGGUGCACCAUCCGGGUGUCGCUUCGGUGCGCCCAACGACAUAAAGGCCCCCUCUCCUUUGAACCGUGCGGCCGAGGUACGAGCUGGUGGUCACUUUGCGUUCCGCGGUGUGUUUACACAAAAUUAGACUCUUAUCUCUCGACGACGCACUCUGGCCACUACUACUACACACUCUGGCGUACACGGGCCCGAGAAGCUACCGGGUAGCACCUAAAGGGAGUUUGCAUCGAUACGGGUACGGCGGUAGGAGAAAAAAAAGGACGCACCACUCGAGACGACGCACGGCGAGAAUGUGUCCGUCAAAAGCGGCUGAAGAGGUCUGUCUGCCAGAAACGGAACGAACGUACUGCUGCCAUUCGGUGCGAUACAGCUUCCUUCAUCCCUACUACAGCGGUUCCAACUGCACGCGUCACGGUGAGCGCUACGCUGCGUGUCUCAUCGUGGUGAGAAGCGGUGAGAAAUGUAGGCGGAGCUAGAAUGCGAUUGUGGCCGUGUUGCGAUUGUGUAAGCGCGCUGUCGGUGCGGUACGGGCAAACGGGCGAAGCGGACGGUGGCAGCAGCACGCCCACUUUACAAUCACCAUUUUUUUACCGUUCGCCAUCAUCACCAUCUGAUUGGUUCUCGAGUGCUCUUGAAAGGCGUGUCUUUCAUCGGAAAAUUGUUAUUGUGUUUUUUUACAUCCUUUCUUUUCCGCGGGCAAGUGGUCGUGUGGGGAAGUAAGGGGGCGAAGGAAUGGUAUUUUUUUGUGCUGUAUUGCCCGCUAUUUGCUAUUAUAGUUUAUAUUAUUCGCUCUUUACAGUCGCGCUCUUUGUCAUCGU